AUGAUCUGGCAUGUACAGAAUGAAAACUUCAUUCUCGAUUCUACGAGAAUUUUUAUGAAAGCGUUUCAUUUGCUUCUCUUCAAUGGAAGUUUCAUUUUUCCAGAAUGUAUCCUAAUUUUUGGCCUAAUUCUUCUGAUGAUGAUCGAUUCAACCUCUGAUCAAAAAGAUAGACCUUGGUUCUAUUUCAUCUCUUCAACAAGUUUAGUAAUUAGCAUUGGUGUUGUCCUAUGGUGUCUUUCAUGCCGCGCACACAUGAAGGGUUCCCGCUGUAGGGUGUUGCAAUACGUUCUUGAUUCGCUUAUAGUGGGUUGCUAG
This 315-nucleotide ribosomal RNA is filed under the name Triticum aestivum (bread wheat). Its description in RNAcentral is "partial small subunit ribosomal RNA". Lineage: Eukaryota; Viridiplantae; Streptophyta; Magnoliopsida; Poales; Poaceae. The record is from RNAcentral.